Long non-coding RNA from Nematolebias whitei (Rio pearlfish), 316 nucleotides. RefSeq lists it as uncharacterized. The record is from RefSeq and is a predicted model, not a curated record. Lineage: Eukaryota; Metazoa; Chordata; Actinopteri; Cyprinodontiformes; Rivulidae. The transcript is spliced from 2 exons.
CUGUUACAGAUGAAGUUCAUGUUAAUAAAUGGUGUGAAGCUGAGAAGAGUUCCUGGGUGAGUGAUCCAUCAGUUCGCUGGUAUCAAACCAAACGUCAGGGUUACAUAGUGGUUCCUGCUUCUGUUUAGAGCUGAUUAAAAGAAGAAGCUCCUCAAGACUGAAGGCCUGAUGUGGACCAGCAGGACCCAGAGCCUCUUAUCAUAGAGUGGAAGAAAAGACCCUUAGACCAGUCUGGUGGGAGACCAACUCAAUAUGGAGGAGACCAAUAUCAGGUUUUUGGUCACUACAGUUUCUUUAAAGAGUGAGGAGGAUAAAA